This 473-nucleotide ribosomal RNA is filed under the name uncultured bacterium. Its description in RNAcentral is "partial 16S ribosomal RNA". It matches the Rfam family "Bacterial small subunit ribosomal RNA", at positions 28 to 523 of the family's 1533-position model. The record is from RNAcentral.
GACGAACGCUGGCGGCGUGCUUAACACAUGCAAGUCGAACGGUAAGGCCCUUCGGGGUACACGAGUGGCGAACGGGUGAGUAACACGUGGGUGAUCUGCCCUGCACUUCGGGAUAAGCCUGGGAAACUGGGUCUAAUACCGGAUAGGACCACUGCCUGCAUGGGUGGUGGUGGAAAGCUUUUGCGGUGUGGGAUGGGCCCGCGGCCUAUCAGCUUGUUGGUGGGGUGAUGGCCUACCAAGGCGACGACGGGUAGCCGGCCUGAGAGGGUGACCGGCCACACUGGGACUGAGAUACGGCCCAGACUCCUACGGGAGGCAGCAGUGGGGAAUAUUGCACAAUGGGCGCAAGCCUGAUGCAGCGACGCCGCGUGAGGGAUGACGGCCUUCGGGUUGUAAACCUCUGUCUUUGGGGACGAUAAUGACGGUACCCAAGGAGGAAGCCACGGCUAACUACGUGCCAGCAGCCGCCGCGG